UUCUUAUUCAGAGAAGCUGAGGGAUCUGGUCCGUCGAAGCUUCAGCAACCGGCCUGUUUAGGUGAGGUGCUACCUCCAGCAAGUGGGAUGAAUGUCCACUUGAAAGAUAAGAA
This 113-nucleotide non-coding RNA is filed under the name Pontibacillus yanchengensis. RNAcentral describes it as "SAM-I sequence". It matches the Rfam family "SAM riboswitch aptamer (S box leader)". From Rfam's summary of the family: The SAM riboswitch is found upstream of a number of genes which code for proteins involved in methionine or cysteine biosynthesis in Gram-positive bacteria. The SAM riboswitch acts at the level of transcription termination control. Lineage: Bacteria; Bacillati; Bacillota; Bacilli; Caryophanales; Bacillaceae. The record is from RNAcentral. RNAcentral also lists the same sequence under 1 other name.